GAUGAACGCUGGCGGCGUGCCUAAUACAUGCAAGUCGAGCGGACUGAUUAGAAGCUUGCUCCUCUGAUGUUAGCGGCGGACGGGUGAGUAACACGUGGGUAACCUGCCUUUUAGACUGGGAUAACAUCGGGAAACCGGAGCUAAUACCGGAUGAUAUCUUGAACCGCAUGGUUCAAGAUUGAAAGACGGUCUUGCCGUUACUUAUAGAUGGGGCCGCGCUGCAUUAGAGAAGUGGUAAAGUAACGGCUUAACAAGGCAGCGAUGCAGAGCCCACCUGAGAGGGUGCGGCGACACAGUGACACUGAGACACGCCCGACACCCACAGGGGAGGCAACUGUGGGGACUCCCGCAAUGUGGGAGAAUCCGUGAGGGCAAAGCGGCGCGUGAGUGAAAAAGGUCUUCGGCGUGUAGAACUGUGUUAUUAGGGGAGACAGUAUGUGUCGGUAUAUGUGCAUACCUUGACGGUACCUAAUCAGAAAGCCACGGCUAACUACGUG
Molecule: ribosomal RNA, 497 nt
Filed under: uncultured bacterium
Lineage: Bacteria
Description: partial 16S ribosomal RNA
Rfam family: Bacterial small subunit ribosomal RNA
Source: RNAcentral